UACGGGGGGGGCAAGCGUUGUUCGGGAUUACUGGGCGUAAAGGGCGCGUAGGCGGCCUGCUAAGUCGGACGUGAAAUCCCCCGGCUCAACCGGGGAACUGCGUCCGAUACUGGUGGGCUCGAAUCCGGGAGAGGGAUGUGGAAUUCCAGGUGUAGCGGUGAAAUUCGUAGAUAUUCGGAGGAACACCAGUGGCGAAGGCGGCUCACUGGUCCGGUACUGACGCUGAGGUGCGAAAGCGUGGGGAGCAAACAGG
This 253-nucleotide ribosomal RNA is filed under the name uncultured bacterium. RNAcentral's name for it is "partial 16S ribosomal RNA". It matches the Rfam family "Bacterial small subunit ribosomal RNA", at positions 524 to 776 of the family's 1533-position model. The record is from RNAcentral.